GACGAACGCUGGCGGCGUGCUUAACACAUGCAAGUCGAACGGACAGACAGAGAGCUUGCUCUCUUGAAGUUAGUGGCGAACGGGUGAGUAACGCGUAAUCAACCUGCCCUUCAGAGGGGGAUAACAACGGGAAACCGUUGCUAAUACCGCGUACGAUUCAUGAACGGCAUCGUUUAUGAAUGAAAGGUGGCCUCUAUGUAUAAGCUAUCGCUGAAGGAGGGGAUUGCGUCUGAUUAGCUAGUUGGGGGGGUAACGGCCCAACAAGGCAAUGAUCAGUAGCCGGUCUGAGAGGAUGAACGGCCACAUUGGGACUGAGACACGGCCCAAACUCCUACGGGAGGCAGCAGUGGGGAAUCUUCCGCAAUGGACGAAAGUCUGACGGAGCAACGCCGCGUGAGUGAUGAAGGUCUUCGGAUUGUAAAGCUCUGUUAAUCGGGACGAAAGAGUUCUGCGUGAAUAAUGCAGAAAAGUGACGGUACCGGAAUAGAAAGCCACGGCUAACUACGUGCCAGCCGCCGCAGUAA
This 524-nucleotide ribosomal RNA is filed under the name uncultured bacterium. RNAcentral's name for it is "partial 16S ribosomal RNA". It matches the Rfam family "Bacterial small subunit ribosomal RNA", at positions 28 to 523 of the family's 1533-position model. The record is from RNAcentral.